GAGAUUUAUCCUGGCUCAGAUUAACGCUGGCGGCAUGCUUUACACAUGCAAGUCGAACGGUAACAGGGUGCUUGCACCGCUGACGAGUGGCGAACGGGUGAGUAAUGCGUCGGAACGUGCCGAGUAGUGGGGGAUAACGCAGCGAAAGCUGUGCUAAUACCGCAUACGAACUGAGGUUGAAAGUGGGGGACCUUCGGGCCUCACGCUAUUCGAUCGGCCGACGUCUGAUUAGCUAGUUGGUAGGGUAAAGGCCUACCAAGGCGACGAUCAGUAGCGGGUCUGAGAGGAUGAUCCGCCACACUGGGACUGAGACACGGCCCAGACUCCUACGGGAGGCAGCAGUGGGGAAUUUUGGACAAUGGGGGAAACCCUGAUCCAGCCAUGCCGCGUGUCUGAAGAAGGCCUUCGGGUUGUAAAGGAC
RNAcentral lists this ribosomal RNA (421 nucleotides) under beta proteobacterium '14.5 MW-4'. RNAcentral's name for it is "bacterial SSU rRNA". It matches the Rfam family "Bacterial small subunit ribosomal RNA", at positions 9 to 433 of the family's 1533-position model. The record is from RNAcentral. Lineage: Bacteria; Pseudomonadati; Pseudomonadota; Betaproteobacteria.